RNAcentral lists this ribosomal RNA (525 nucleotides) under Triticum aestivum (bread wheat). Its description in RNAcentral is "partial small subunit ribosomal RNA". The record is from RNAcentral. Lineage: Eukaryota; Viridiplantae; Streptophyta; Magnoliopsida; Poales; Poaceae.
AUGAAAAUUCACACGAUGUAUUACACUUCUAUAUGUGCACAUAUAAAAAAAUUCAGAAUUUUUUGCACUGUAAAAAUCCGUUUCUUUGAAGUUCAAAAAACAGGCACAAUAUGCCCGUGUUGCAAAGUUACAAAAAAGGCGAGAUCACAGAGGCAAGCGCCCCCUUUAUAUUUUUAUAGAAGAAUUACCUUUUGCAUAACAACGCAAUAUGUACAGUUCGACUUCAUGAUUGCCUAUUCAACAGAGUUUGGCGUGGACUCACACGUUUUCUUUAAUUUUUGUCUGUCAUACGCUUAUACUGACAUAGGUUUUUCCUACGUGAUUAAAUUAAAUAUGAGGAGUUUCCUGCAAAAACAAUCUCAAGCACAGGCCACCCAGCACGUUCCCCGCUCUCUGCAACUGACAUGUGGGGUUGUCACACCACGUGGGCAGAGCAUACGCCCAGAUACAGAAGGUGGCACCGUAUUUGCACAGCCGGACAAGUUUAAGCACCAAUUUCGUGUAUUUUGCAACUUUAGGCACUAA